AAAAGCUCAGCUCUAACCUGGCUCACCAGGACUCCUCAGCUGAGCUUCUCAAAAUGAGGCUCCCUGCUCAGCUCCUGGGGCUGCUGCUGCUCUGGAUCCCUGGAACCAGUGGGGAUAUUGUGAUGACCCAGACUCCUCUCUCUCAGCCUAUCACCCCUGGACAGUCAGUCUCCCUCUCCUGCAGGUCUAGUCAAAGCCUCC
Molecule: long non-coding RNA, 201 nt
Organism: Marmota monax (woodchuck)
Lineage: Eukaryota; Metazoa; Chordata; Mammalia; Rodentia; Sciuridae
Exons: 2
Source: RefSeq, a predicted model, not a curated record